Molecule: long non-coding RNA, 409 nt
Organism: Triticum aestivum (bread wheat)
Lineage: Eukaryota; Viridiplantae; Streptophyta; Magnoliopsida; Poales; Poaceae
Exons: 3
Source: RefSeq, a predicted model, not a curated record
GUUCUCUGCUGAAUGAUUCUUCCAGAACAAUGAAACCCAUGUCCAGACCUACCCAUCUCCAUCUGGAUGGUUUUUCAUUCUUUGCCGUCGGGAUGGAUUACAAUGAGACGACGCCAAACAUCAGUGGUGCAUACAACAAGCAAAGUGGGAGGAUGCCAUCUCUUGCAGUACUAAGAUUCUAUGGUCGAGAAGCUCGGCGUCGACUAGAGUGGAGCUCUGCAUCCUCAUCUCUACAAGUAGUACAGAACCACAAUGGUUGGGCCGUCGAGCAGUGUUUUUGCUGGGUGUACCUUUGGCGACCAUGUUGUGGAGACAACACCGUUCGGCAUGAGUUUGGUUGUCAGCGAAGCUGCUCUGCCUUUGUCAUCGCUCACUCCUGCCCAGCGCCUCGGUUGGCCGCUUCUUCAUC